RNAcentral lists this ribosomal RNA (292 nucleotides) under uncultured bacterium. Its description in RNAcentral is "partial 16S ribosomal RNA". It matches the Rfam family "Bacterial small subunit ribosomal RNA", at positions 505 to 796 of the family's 1533-position model. The record is from RNAcentral.
GUGCCAGCCGCCGCGGUAAUACGUAGGGGGCAAGCGUUGUCCGGAUUUAUUGGGCGUAAAGCGCGUGUAGGCGGCCAGGCAGGUCCGCUGUGAAAACUAGAGGCUCAACCUCUAGAGGUCGGUGGAAACCGCAUGGCUAGAGUCCGGAAGAGGAGACUGGAAUUCCCGGUGUAGCGGUGGAAUGCGCAGAUAUCGGGAGGAACACCCGUGGCGAAGGCGGGUCUCUGGGACGGUACUGACGCUGAGACGCGAAAGCGUGGGGAGCGAACAGGAUUAGAAACCCCAGUAGUCC